AUUGAACGCUGGCGGCAUGCCUUACACAUGCAAGUCGAACGGUAACAGGUCUUCGGAUGCUGACGAGUGGCGAACGGGUGAGUAAUACAUCGGAACGUGCCUAGUAGUGGGGGAUAACUACUCGAAAGAGUGGCUAAUACCGCAUGAGAUCUACGGAUGAAAGCAGGGGAUCGCAAGACCUUGUGCUACUAGAGCGGCCGAUGGCAGAUUAGGUAGUUGGUGGGUUAAAAGCUUACCAAGCCGACGAUCUGUAGCUGGUCUGAGAGGACGAUCAACCACACUGGGACUGAGACACGGCCCAGACGCCUACGGGAGGCAGCAGUGGGGAAUUUUGGACAAUGGGCGCAAGCCUGAUCCAGCAAUGCCGCGCGCAGGAUGAAGGCCUUCGGGUUGUAAACUGCUUUUGUACGGAACGAAAAGCCCUGGGUUAAUACCCUGGGGUCAUGACGGUACCGUAAGAAUAAGCACCGGCUAACUACGUGCCAGCCGCCGCGGUAA
Molecule: ribosomal RNA, 498 nt
Filed under: uncultured bacterium
Lineage: Bacteria
Description: partial 16S ribosomal RNA
Rfam family: Bacterial small subunit ribosomal RNA
Source: RNAcentral